GUGCCUAUGUUGAAAAAUAUCUACUGGAGAAGUCCAGACUCGUUUAUCAAGAGCAUAAUGAACGGAACUAUCAUGUAUUCUAUUACCUCCUGGCAGGAGCAAGUGAAGAAGAGAGAUUAGCAUUCCAUCUUAAACAACCAGAAGGAUAUCAUUAUCUCAAUCAGAUAACAAAGAAACCCCUCAGACAGAGCUGGGAUGAUUAUUGCUAUGAUUCUGAGCCGG
Non-coding RNA from Manis javanica (Malayan pangolin), 222 nucleotides. The record is from RefSeq and is a predicted model, not a curated record. NCBI's taxonomy places the organism in Eukaryota, Metazoa, Chordata, Mammalia, Pholidota, Manidae.